This 2637-nucleotide long non-coding RNA is filed under the name Oncorhynchus kisutch (coho salmon). RNAcentral describes it as "lncRNA (ENSOKIG00005014941.1)". Lineage: Eukaryota; Metazoa; Chordata; Actinopteri; Salmoniformes; Salmonidae. The record is from RNAcentral.
CUUAUUGAUUUCAUUUUAUAAUCAAAUUUACCUAUCACAUAUGAGAGAAUCUGCUUCUAUGUUAUUGUACAUUGUCACUCAAUGGUCUCUCUAGGUCACUUCCAGGCAGGCAGGCAGGCAGUCCUCAGCUCCCAGAUCGAAAGGCCUAGUUAAUGAUUAACAAUACCAGUCAGAUUUAUUGUGUACAGUGAUGCUGUCAGGAAGCAUUUCCUUCUCUAGCCUGUCCGGGAAACACACACUCUACAGACACACUCUCAGGCUCUCUGCCUGUCUACAGCUACCAUACCGACACUUCUAGCUCUAGAUCAGACAGCUGCCAGAUGAAUCAGACCAUGCAACCCUCCCACAGCUCUCAUCCCAGGACACCUCUCAGUUCUGUCCAUCUGCGGGCCACAGAGACUGGCUCUGCCCUGUGUGUCUGCAAACUGCCAGCUUCCCUGUACAGACCAACUGGGGCCAUCUAUACUGUGCUCCCUGUCUGAUCUGUACUGGAGACUUGGGUCCUGGCUGGAUGCCAUCAGCUGCCCUCUGUGUAGACAAAGGGGAAGAAAGACACACCCAACUAAAGGAGAGGGAGGUUCUGGGAGAAUUUACAGACUACAACAAACGUUUUUAUUUUUUAUUUUUUAUUUUUAUUUCACCUUUAUUUAACCAGGUAGGCUAGUUGAGAACAAGUUCUCAUUUGCAACUGCGACCUGGCCAAGAUAAAGCAUAGCAGUGUGAGCAUACAACAAAGAGUUACACAUGGAGUAAACAAUUAACAAGUCAAUAACACAGUAGAAAACGAAGGGGGGGUCUAUAUACAAUGUGUGCAAAAGGCAUGAGGAGGUAGGCAAAUAAUUACAAUUUUGCAGAUUAACACUGGAGUGAUAAAAGAUCAGAUGGUCAUGUACAGGUAGAGAUAUUGGUGUGCAGAAGAGCAGAAAAGUAAAUAAAUAGAAACAGUACGGGGAUGAGGUAGGUGAAAAGGGUGGGCUAUUUACCAAUAGACUAUGUACAGCUGCAGCGAUCGGUUAGCUGCUCAGAUAGCUGAUGUUUGAAGUUGGUGAGGGAGAUAAAAGUCUCCAACUUCAGCGAUUUUUGCAAUUCGUUCCAGUCACAGGCAGCAGAGUACUGGAACGAAAGGCGGCCAAAUGAGGUGUUGGCUUUAGGGAUGAUCAGUGAGAUACACCUGCUGGAGCGCGUGCUACGGAUGGGUGUUGCCAUCGUGACCAGUGAGCUGAGAUAAGGCGGAGCUUUACCUAGCAUAGACUUGUAGAUGACCUGGAGCCAGUGGGUCUGGCGACGAAUAUGUAGCGAGGGCCAGCCGACUAGAGCAUACAAGUCGCAGUGGUGGGUGGUAUAAGGUGCUUUAGUGACAAAACGGAUGGCACUGUGAUAGACUGCAUCCAGUUUGCUGAGUAGAGUGUUGGAAGCCAUUUUGUAGAUGACAUCGCCGAAGUCGAGGAUCGGUAGGAUAGUCAGUUUUACUAGGGUAAGCUUGGCGGCUUGAGUGAAGGAGGCUUUGUUGCGGAAUAGAAAGCCGACUCUUGAUUUGAUUUUCGAUUGGAGAUGUUUGAUAUGAGUCUGGAAGGAGAGUUUGCAGUCUAGCCAGACACCUAGGUACUUAUAGACGUCCACAUAUUCUAGGUCGGAACCAUCCAGGGUGGUGAUGCUAGUCGGGCAUGCAGGUGCAGGCAAAUCCAAAUCCAAGAUGGCGUAGCAGUAAGUCGUCCUGUCGUGUCGUGUCCCUGUAUAUUUUGUUUAUAUUUUGUUUAUUUUUCGUUUUUUACAUAUUUUUCGUCUUUUACAUAGCUAUCCCUUUUUAAAAACAUUUUGCUAAACCUAAGCUUCCAAAUACGCUGGAUCUUCACAACUAGCUAUCUAGCUAAACCGCAACCCUGGACGACUACCCCUGGCUAGCGUUUCCACCCACUUAGCUUGAAGCUAGCCCGGCCUGCGCUACCACCGUAGCAUACUCCUGAGCUACAAUACCCGGGCCCACGACCGGUCUAUCGAUGUCACCGCAUGAAGAGGAAUAAACAGACUCACCCCAUCGCGACGUCCCCCAAAGGCUAACUCUCUAGCCCUCGCUAUCUCCCUGCUUGCUAAUUCGGCCUGCUAACUGCUAGCUUGUCCAGCUCCGGUCCGCUAACUGCUACCUUGUCUAGCCCGGGCCUACAAACUGUUAGCACAGGCCUGCUAACCGCCUGAAUCGCCGCGUCCCAAACGCCCACCGGACCCAUAUUUACUUUCUAUCUCUUUUGACUUUUAAUUUGUUUAUACCUUCCGGAAACCUGCCUCACCCAAUGUGAUACGGAAUCGCUAUUAUUUUUUAUUUAUUUUUAGAACACACUCAAGAACCUCCAGAAGCUAACCAGCUAACUAGCUACAAGCUAUUUAGUCAUUGUUCGUUUUUUUAACCUGGAUAACACUCGCCAGUCCAGCUUCCCUUCCCCAUCCACCGCUGCCCCCUGGACACUGAUCUCUUGGCUACAUAGCUGAUGCACGCUGGACUGUCCAUAAAUCACGGUACUCCAUUCUGCUUGUUUGUUUUAUCUGUUGGCCCCGUUGCCUAGUCUACGCCAUUUUACCUGCUGUUGUUGUGCUAGCUGAUUAGCUGUUGUCUCACCUACUGUUUUAGCUAGCUUUCCCAAU